This 103-nucleotide small nuclear RNA is filed under the name Dasypus novemcinctus (nine-banded armadillo). Lineage: Eukaryota; Metazoa; Chordata; Mammalia; Cingulata; Dasypodidae. The record is from RNAcentral.
AUGCUUUGGCAGUACAUAUACUAAAAUUGGAAUGAUACAGAGAAGAUUAGCAUGGUCCCCAUGCAAGGAUGACACACAAAUUCAUGAAGCAUUCCAUAUUUGU